ACCAGGCAUGGUGGUGCACGCCUGUAAUCCUAGGGACCUGGGAGGUUGAGGCAGGAAAUCACAAGUUCAAAGCCAGUCUUAGCAAUUUAGCAAGGCUCUAAGCAACUUAGUGAGACCCUGUCUCAA
RNAcentral lists this small RNA (126 nucleotides) under Marmota monax (woodchuck). Lineage: Eukaryota; Metazoa; Chordata; Mammalia; Rodentia; Sciuridae. The record is from RNAcentral.